AUGGAAGUGUUUUCUCAAUUCUCUGAUACCUAAUGAGGUGUGUUUUUGUCCAGACAUUCUGGAGUGCAAUUUAUUUUCAAAAAAAAAAUAACACCUGCCUUUGUCAUGCAUUAAAGAUCAUUGUGAACUAUGAAAAUACAUCAGACAUCUUGGUUAUUCACGCCUUCUACAGGUCACUUUUCCUGAUCUUGAUGUACACAGCUUACUGAAGCGUCAUUUGUAGCUAUGAGAACAUAUCAAACAUUUUAUCCUUAAGGCCGUUCAGAGGUAAGUUUCCUGACCUACAAUGUCCAAAGCUUGUGAUUUAACAGUUUCCCUAUCUCUGGUAGUUAAUCAUAUCUAGUUACUGUCAUAUAUGAAUUGAGCCUUUUCGGUUCAUUUGGGAACUUGUCACUCUCAAUUUCAUUGUUGAAGGUUAACAUGUCGGAAGCCAACAACACGACUCUAAUACUCCCAAAAGAUUAACAAUGCCCAGAGCAUAACCUGGUACUACAAUCUCCAAAUCACAAGGAUAUUUUAUUCCCUUUUUUUAGUUUUUUUAGCAGAGCUUUAUUCUCUCUUUAGUGGUCCAGUGAUGACGAUGUUACAGUGUGUGUUGCUUUCUCUGCUCUCUGGUAGGUUGAUUGCAAAUCUGCAUGCGAGAACACUCGGGGCCAUUAUCAGCCCCCCUGUCCCGGAUAAGUAGCCCUGAACCAAUAGGCCCAGCAGAUUCUGCAUCUGUUCAGCUAUUUCAAUGUCACGGACCAUAUUUUGCAUACAAAAGCUUCUUUUGCAUCUAAGACAUUUUAAAUGUCCCGGGAUUUGCUCGAUCCUCUUGUUUGCACAUGUUUUCUCCAAUCUCCAUCUUCCUCUUCUUAUAUUGGUGCAGAGUCUUCUUCUUAGGAAGCUCCCAAACCGCCUUUGUAAUCCACUCCUGAGCAAACUCAUUCCCAGCAUCAUGAGGGAUUCCUUUCAGGCUAUAGUCGAAUUUUGAAUCCAAAUCUGACCAUGCAAUAUUCUUCAGGUUCCACAGCAUGGACUUGUCAUGUGAGUAUCAGCCAAAUGCAUUUUACUGACUUCCGUCAAGGCAGGUGUGAACUCCAGCUUUUCCUUACUGACUAGCUUCCAAAUCGCAAAAAAAGAUGCUAUCCCAUCCUUCACGGAGCCAGUAGUCAUGAUCCAGGCUCCAGGGAUGUGCUCUUUGUAAGCAGUGUAAGCUAAAUACGGAGUCAGUUUGGGAUAUCUGGUCGUCAUCAUCAGUGCUUCGUCAGCUCCUCUAGUUUCCAUCUCUGUCCACUCGUCUGAUCCUUGAUUCCCAAUAUAAUAUUUUAGCCAGUGGAGUUUUUCUGACAUUAUUUGAGGACGAGGUGGGGAAGUAAAAUUAUUUGAUGAUGAUGUUCCUUGGCUUUUAUUUGUCGCACUGAUGUAAGCCAAAUUUCAUCAUGGCCUGGUUUACCAAAUUUCUUCUCUUGUUCUUAUAGAACAAAAAAAGUGCAAGUUAAUGUAGUGCUUAACUGCUUACACUGGUUGAAUAAGGUAUUGCUUUAUCUAGCCCUGUGCUGUAAUACCUAUUGAAAAUUUUCCAUCCAUUUUACGUAGAUGAGAUCCAGGAAGUCCUUAUUGUUACUACACAUUAUCUAGCUUGGUGCUAGUCUUCCUGUUCCAUCGAAAAAUUGAUUUUAUGAAUCUAAUAUUUUGUGUUUGGAAUUAUUUCUCAAAUGCUGUGUAUUUUAUGACUAUUUUCAUUUUUCACCCUUGAUGAUUCAACUGUUAGCUCUGCGUCGAAGAUAAACUAUACCUUCCAAUUUGUCCAUUCCGGUUUUUGAUCUAGUAUUUUCUCUUUGAAGCAUGAACAAUGCAAAUGGUAUGACAUACAACAAGUUAAGGCUUUGAUAGAAGUUUCUUAGGUUACUGGUUUGCUAAGUAGAGGUGGAUUAGUUGUAGCUCCAUCCAGAAUGGAUUCAUGGCACUGUCAAGUACUAUUUUCGUUGCUGUAGUGAGCUUUGUCUUUUUAUUUUCCCUUUUAUGAACUGAUCGCCAUAAUUGAUUAGAUAACGAGCCACUAGAGUUGUAAAUCAAACAAGCUCGAAUCAUAUGAAUUAGGAUAGUAGGUGAACUACCUUGUUCUCACAUUUGGAUUCUUGCUUCCUACAAAGAUGGUAGGAGUGGCAUUUCCUUAAUUGUGAGAAUAUGUUCAUAAUGUACUGUAGCAUUUAUCUAUCUACUUAUAUUUGAGUAAAGGUUGUGUUUACUGUGAUGAAUUCGACCUUCAGUAUGACAAGUAUGAAACUUACUAUGAAGUCAAAUAACCAAUUAUUCUGAGGUUAUAUUAAAAUAAAUUACCUGAUCAUCUCAGUUACUGUUACUCUUGUGCAUAACUUUUAGAGGGAGCGAGACACACUGGGUUCAAUGCUUGGUGGUGGACCGGUUGACUUCCACACCUCAUCGGCUGAGAAGUGCUUUGUGCUGUCCACUUGUUCAUCUCAAAUUUAGUAUUUCUGGUAGCAGAUGGUUGCUUUCUGUGUACUGUUCAGGUAGAUAGUCAUCAUUUAUCAGACAUUAUUUGUGCAGUGCCACUUCUCUAUCUCUCCGAGCAAUGGCAGUGUUUUCUCAAUUCCUCUCAUACCUAAUGAGGUGUCGCCAUCCAGAUAUUCUGGAGUGCAGGUCAGUUUUCCUGAUCUUGCUGUACAAAGCUCACUGCUUAAUGGAGCAUCAAUUGUAACCAUGAGAACAUAUAAUGAUAUAAAACAUUUUGUCCUUCAGGCCAUUCAGAGCUGGAUGUCCUCUGGCUGCGGCGACGUGGUUUCUGGCUUUGGGCGGCGAGCGCACCAUGACUUCUAAUAUUCUGUCAAGCUGCAUGACAUUGAGUUUAUGGUGGCGGUUGCUCAUGUGUUUGAUGUGUUGGGUCGAGCAUUUAUCUAUGUGUGUUCUUAUUUGAGAAAAUUGCAUGACACUGAGUUUAUGUUAAAGACGGAGUUUUUAAUUU
Long non-coding RNA from Lolium perenne, 2965 nucleotides. RefSeq lists it as uncharacterized. The record is from RefSeq and is a predicted model, not a curated record. NCBI's taxonomy places the organism in Eukaryota, Viridiplantae, Streptophyta, Magnoliopsida, Poales, Poaceae.